ACAUAUUUUAAUUUUUAAUCAAUUUAUUAUAUUAAAUAAAUUUACAUUUAAAUCCACCUUCAUUUUAAUCAAUUACAAAAAAAAAUCCAUUUAAAUAAAUUUAUUGUAAUCCAUCAUAUUCUUAAUUAUAUUCUACAUCUUGAUCUGAAUUAAUUUUUUAUUAUAAUUUUUAAAUAUUUUUUUUAUUUAAAAAUAUUUUUUUAACAACGAUAUAUAAAAUUAUAAAUUAAGUAAAUUUAAUCGUGGAUUAUCAAUUAUUAGACAGAUUCCUCUAAAUGAACUAAAAUACCGCCAAAUUAUUUAAGUUUUAAUAAAUUAUUACUUACU
This 327-nucleotide ribosomal RNA is filed under the name Hypaurotis quercus (purple hairstreak). RNAcentral's name for it is "Quercusia quercus (purple hairstreak) partial 12S ribosomal RNA". Lineage: Eukaryota; Metazoa; Arthropoda; Insecta; Lepidoptera; Lycaenidae. The record is from RNAcentral.